UUUUCAUUUCAAAUCGAUUCACACACAUAGCAGACGCUAACACAUCAAGCGUCAUCAAUAGCGUGGUCUGUGGAUGCUAUCGCUGGAGUAAGGCGUUUACCUUCAAUUCGGGUAGCGUCAUGAUUGGCCUACCCUGAUGGCGUCAUGAUCGCUGCUGAUUGCCUUUCAAAUAGGUUUUCAGCAUUCUGCUUACACCUUUGGCAUAGAGUCACAUAUUUCACAAUCCAACAUCAAUUGGUACCAACAGCAGCCCUUCUCUCCAUCAUCCAGAAGGGUCUGAGAUCAGUGUUGGAGAUGAUGGUUCGGAACAACCCAUGGAAAGCUUAUCACUCAUUGAUGCUGUGAUGCCUGAUGUUGUUGCAAGUCGUCAACAGCAAACACAGAACAAACAGAAACCACAAGUGGUAAAGACAGAACCACCAAAUUCCAAUGGAGAUGAACCCAUGCAUUCCAAUCGCUGGGAAGAGGAAACAGGAGUAGAGAUACCUGCCAGCAAAUCAACUGUACUUCGUGGCCAUGAAUCUGAAGUUUUCAUCUGCGCCUGAACCCAACAACUGAUUUAUUGGCUUCUGGCUCUCGGAUGGUGACUCUUCUGAAGGUACCAUCAAAGAGAGAGAAAGACAUUAGAUGAAUAUAGAGGUUAUUCAGACUUACAAUCACUGAUUUUAAAUUACUAUCCUGUUUAUUGAGUAUACAGUUUAAUAAUACCAUAAAACAUCAGACCACCUAAAUAUCAUAAUUGGGGGAAAUUUUAAAAAAUAAAACACGUGGUAGACAACUGA
Molecule: long non-coding RNA, 782 nt
Organism: Daphnia pulicaria
Lineage: Eukaryota; Metazoa; Arthropoda; Branchiopoda; Diplostraca; Daphniidae
Exons: 4
Source: RefSeq, a predicted model, not a curated record